AUUGAACGCUGGCGGCAGGCCUAACACAUGCAAGUCGAGCGGAUGAAGGGAGCUUGCUCCUGGAUUCAGCGGCGGACGGGUGAGUAAUGCCUAGGAAGCUGCCUUGUAGUGGGGGAUAACGUCCGGAAACGGGCGCUAAUACCGCAUACGUCCUGAGGGAGAAAGUGGGGGAUCUUCGGACCUCACGCUAUCAGAUGAGCCUAGGUCGGAUUAGCUAGUUGGUGGGGUAAAGGCCUACCAAGGCGACGAUCCGUAACUGGUCUGAGAGGAUGAUCAGUCACACUGGAACUGAGACACGGUCCAGACUCCUACGGGAGGCAGCAGUGGGGAAUCUUGGACAAUGGGCGAAAGCCUGAUCCAGCCAUGCCGCGUGUGUGAAGAAGGUCUUCGGAUUGUAAAGCACUUUAAGUUGGGAGGAAGGGCAGUAAGUUAAUACCUUGCUGUUUUGACGUUACCAACAGAAUAAGCACCGGCUAACUUCGUG
Molecule: ribosomal RNA, 484 nt
Filed under: uncultured bacterium
Lineage: Bacteria
Description: partial 16S ribosomal RNA
Rfam family: Bacterial small subunit ribosomal RNA
Source: RNAcentral